RNAcentral lists this ribosomal RNA (520 nucleotides) under Streptomyces sp. Sp080513G1-26. RNAcentral describes it as "bacterial SSU rRNA". It matches the Rfam family "Bacterial small subunit ribosomal RNA", at positions 41 to 581 of the family's 1533-position model. Lineage: Bacteria; Bacillati; Actinomycetota; Actinomycetes; Kitasatosporales; Streptomycetaceae. The record is from RNAcentral.
GGCGUGCUUAACACAUGCAAGUCGAGCGGAAAGGCCCUUCGGGGUACUCGAGCGGCGAACGGGUGAGUAACACGUGAGUAACCUGCCCCUGACUCUGGGAUAAGCCCGGGAAACUGGGUCUAAUACCGGAUACGACACCUCCUGGCAUCGGGUGGGUGUGGAAAGUUUUUUCGGUUGGGGAUGGACUCGCGGCCUAUCAGCUUGUUGGUGGGGUAAUGGCCUACCAAGGCGACGACGGGUAGCCGGCCUGAGAGGGCGACCGGCCACACUGGGACUGAGACACGGCCCAGACUCCUACGGGAGGCAGCAGUGGGGAAUAUUGCGCAAUGGGCGAAAGCCUGACGCAGCGACGCCGCGUGGGGGAUGACGGCCUUCGGGUUGUAAACCUCUUUCAGCAGGGACGAAGUUGACGUGUACCUGCAGAAGAAGCGCCGGCUAACUACGUGCCAGCAGCCGCGGUAAUACGUAGGGCGCAAGCGUUGUCCGGAAUUAUUGGGCGUAAAGAGCUCGUAGGUGGCUU